CUGCAUUAAGCCGACCAUGCUCUCUUCCCCCAUGGGGGCCUGGUGUGCAAUGGCUGCAAACAGUUGCAUUCUGAUUUAUUUUUAAGUAUUU
This is a small nucleolar RNA of Myotis lucifugus (little brown bat), 91 nucleotides long. Its record names the gene SNORA70. It matches the Rfam family "Small nucleolar RNA SNORA70". Rfam says of the family: snoRNA U70 seems to be exclusive to mammals and is a member of the H/ACA class of snoRNA which contain H (ANANNA) and ACA box motifs. H/ACA box snoRNAs are involved in the conversion of uridines to pseudouridines (5-ribosyluracil) a constituent of structural RNAs (transfer, ribosomal, small nuclear, and small nucleolar). The record is from Ensembl. NCBI's taxonomy places the organism in Eukaryota, Metazoa, Chordata, Mammalia, Chiroptera, Vespertilionidae.